GGCGGCGUAGCUUAGUUGGUUAGAGCGUCCGGUUCAUACCCGGAAGGUCGGUGGUUCGAAUCCACCCGCCGCUACCA
RNAcentral lists this transfer RNA (77 nucleotides) under Eubacteriales Family XIII. Incertae Sedis bacterium. RNAcentral's name for it is "tRNA-Met". It matches the Rfam family "tRNA". Rfam says of the family: Transfer RNA (tRNA) molecules are approximately 80 nucleotides in length. The record is from RNAcentral. Lineage: Bacteria; Bacillati; Bacillota; Clostridia; Peptostreptococcales; Anaerovoracaceae.